This is a long non-coding RNA of Cavia porcellus (domestic guinea pig), 4321 nucleotides long. RefSeq lists it as uncharacterized. The record is from RefSeq and is a predicted model, not a curated record. The transcript is spliced from 4 exons. NCBI's taxonomy places the organism in Eukaryota, Metazoa, Chordata, Mammalia, Rodentia, Caviidae.
UGGAUCUAGAGGAAUGUUUCUUCUUUGGAACUAAAGCUCUGGGACUAGUCUGGGAUUUCUGGUAAUGAGAAUGCAGGUUCCUCUUUUUGCCUCCAAGACUGGCUGACCGCGGCCUGGGACAAGAGACUAGGGGCUUGAAAUACUUCACUCCAAGCAACUACUUUGAAGAAAAGCAGGUUCAUAAGAACAGGACAGGUCCCAAUCCACGUCCAGCAAUAAAUGAGGAAAUGCUUUCUGGGACAGGGGUAUAUGCACCACUUUGACCGGCGCAGCUCCCCAAUGAGACAGGAAACGCUUAAGAUAAACCAAGUUUUGCCCUUUCCAUGCUUAAUUUAAACUUUAAAAGAUCAAUACAGCCAAUAAUGUGCAAGCAAGGUUAUGCUUGUGUCUUAAUAGGAGAAAGAUCCAUGAGAAACAUACAGCCUUGAUGGAAGACACAACCAGUGCUGAGGACAGCCUUAGAUGGUGGCUCCACCAACCUGGGUCCGGGGAGACAUGCCAAUCAGCCAGAAAAUUGACCCCAAGAGACCAAGAGAAAAGGCAAGUGAUCCAGUGGAAUGACAUCCAAGCAAUGAUUCAUGAGGCUAAAAAUAUUGUCACCAAAAGGAAAAUUCCACCAACCCCUGAAAAUCUUUUGAUUGCCUUAAAGACUCUGCUGGCAAUAUCUGUAUAUAUGACACCUGUCUCAGGAGUGGAAUAAUAGACUUAUGUCUUUGAUCCACCACUACUUAGACCCAUUACUUGGGCAGAUUCUCCACUGAGAUUUAUCAUGAACUAUACUUGACUUCUUAAACUGUGCCAUUACAAGGCCACUCAUUUCUGCAUCCUUGGGAGGAUAUUAAAAAACAUGUACAAGGAGCUAUCCAUCAAAAUGUUAUGAUGGAUACUGACGCUUUCCAGAAGUAGGUGUUAAUGUCCCAACAAACGCAAAAAUUUGAUGAACAAAUUCAAGAUUGGUACAAAUUCUCUGAUGCUUUAGAUCAAUUAAAUCCAUUCAGCUAUCUGAAGGCAGACUUCUGGCUUUAUGUCGGUAUACUUGGAGUAGUCUGUGUGUUUCUCCUUAUUCUAUUCAUAGUCUGUGGAAGAGGAGCCAAAUUGGAGACAACAUUCAUCCACAUCUUACCCUGAUCCAGCUGUUGUUACAAAAACAAAAGGGAGAAGAUGUUAGCACACUAAACUAAACUCAAAAUAGAUCAAAUAUCUAAAUAUUAAAACAGAAACACUAAAUCUCCUGGAAGAAAAGGUAGAUAGAAAUCUUGAAGACAUAGGGAUAGGCAGAGAGUUCAUGAACAGAAACAAACUGUACUGGAAGCAUUUUUCAAAGAAUCAAUAAACAGUAUCUCAUCUUAUUAAAAGUUUUUGCCCAUCAAAAUAAUUCAACAGAGUGAAAAAACUACCCAUAAUGUAGGAAAAAAUUUUAGCCCAAUGUCUCUCAGACAAAGAAAUUCUACCAAGAACAUAUAAAGAAUUGAAAAAAAUCAUACCCCUCAGAUUCAAAGACCCAAUCAAAAAGUGGAUAUCUAAAGUGAAUACACAAUUUUCACAUUAAGAAACACAAAUGUCAAAUACAUAUAUGAAAAAAUGUUCAAUAUCACUCAUUAUUUGAGAGAUGCAAAUUAAAACACCACUGAGAUUCCAUCUCACUCCCAGAAAGAAUGGCUACCAUCAAGAAGUCAACCAAUAAUAAAUGCUGGAGGAGCUGUGAGGAAAAAAAGAAUGCUUCUCCAUUGUUGGUAGAAGUAUAGACUACUAAAACCACUGUGCAAAUCAAUGUGGAGAUUCCUCAGAAACUAGGAUUAGAGGUCCCUUUCCACCCAGCUACUCUCCUUCUGAGCAUCAUCCAGGAAGAAUUGAAAUCAUUAUACCACAGUGACAUACAUAUAUGCACCCAUGUUUAGAGAAGCAUAGCUCUUAAUAGCUAAAUCUUGGAAACAACCCAAAUGCCCAUCAACUAAAGAAUAGAUUAAAAAAAAAAUAUGUGGUACUUUUAUACAAAGGAGUACUAUUUCAGCUAUAAAAAGGAUGAUCUUGAGGCUCUUAUAGGUAAAUGGAGGCAACUAGAGACCAUCCUCAUAAAUGAUAAACACACUUGUAUGUGUCAAUAUCAUAUUGUCUCCGUAGUGUAAAAAAAGGGAAACAGUAAAUAGGAUCCAAAAUGUACAAAAGAUAUUGUUCAAAUGAAAGAGGAAGAGAUUGCUCAAAAGGAAAGAACAACUUGGUUGAAAGGAAGGAGAAAAGAAAGAAGGGAAAGGAGAAAAAAAGGGAAAAAAGAGAAAAUAAAGAAGGGAAUAAAUAAUUAUGUUACUAAUCUCUUAGUCUGUCAAAAAGAACAAGUUUGUGCUUUCAAUGUUUGGUCAUAUUUUCAUCCCUAUAUCUUGUAAUCUGAGCAACUACUUCAAAGAUAACAAUAUGCAAUAUAUUACUCAUUAUUAAUCUAUUUUGUUGUUUGGAAACUCUGUAAAAAGAAUUAAAUGGUUAAAAAGAUCUGGGACUGUGGCUUAUUGGUAGAGGGCACCUGGGUUCACUCCCUAGAACUGUGAGAAAAGUGGGGGUGGGAGGUGAAAGGUUGAGGGAGAGUCUUAAAAUACAGAGCCUUUGAAUCUUCCGAAUCAAAAUCUCAGCAAGUCAAACCAAAGAAAUUUAUGUUUUCCCAGCCUUUCCCGAUGAUUCCUUUACAUAUCUGAAGCUAAUAUCUUCUCAGAAACUUUCUGUCUCUUAGAUUCACAGUAAGCUGAUUUGCUAAUAAAAAUCUAUGUAUCUAUAUCCAUAUCCUUAUCCAUAUCCUAGUUACCAACUACUUAAAAGCUUGAAAAUAAGAGUUCUUUUCCACUUUUGUCCUAGUGUUUUCAGUCCAAUUUAGUCACUGAUCACGUGGCUUUUCCUUUUAUUAAGCAUCUGACUAUAAUGAGAUCCGUUUUUAAAUCAAUAACUAUUAUCUGUGCACCCACCAUGUACCAGGAACAAUGAUACGAAGAAUAGCCCAGCACGCUCCUAUCUUGGAGAUACAGUGUAACCAGCAUGAAAGACUUGUGAAUAAAUAAUUCUUUGCACUAAGUGCUCUGGUGUAAAUAUAUCAAAAGUGCUGAGAGCACACAGAUAAGAAGCCAGCUAAGGUUUCCCAGGGACUCCAUGAAGGUCCAAACAAGAGGCAACAUUUGAGCUGGUUUUGAGACAGAGUGAGGAAAGGAUACUCAAGUGCGAAAACAACACGACCAAGAACAGCAGAAUGAAAACAGUCUUUCCUGUGUGUGCUGCAGAGAGAUUGUGGUGAAGCCCAAAACUUGGGCUAUGCUCUUAUCAUAAAGAAGCAUUCUGUACGACAUGUCACACAGUGACAGUAAGACUGUAGCUCCCAGGAGCCACCAGAGAGGGGGCUUUGCUUGCUUGCUUUUCCUUUCCUCUUUUUACAUCUUUUGUGUUUAUGAAAAAUAUUUAGAUUGGAUUUAAAAAUUCAAAUAUUACUGUCAGGCUCACAUUAAAAUUAGCACUAGGGGCUGGGGAUUUAGCUCAGCGGCAUAAGCACCUGCCUUGCAAGCAGGCAGUCGUGAGUUCGAUCCCUGGUACCAAUAAAAAGGGAAAAGACAAAAAAAAAAAAAAAAUUAGCACAUCUCUUCCUCCACAUUCAACUCUUUCUUUCUUUAGGCAUCCAUGUACAUCUUUAAGCUUUUUUUAGUGUUUAAUUUCAUAUUUCAAAAUUAUGUGGUGCACUGUAGAAAUUUCAUUGGGAAAUCAACAAAUAGGAGUAUCUUUUGUAUGAACUGAUGUCUUCCCCAAAGAGGAAUUAAUUCUCUGAUCUCCUGCUGAGGGACAAAAUACUAGUGACCCUGAGAACAGACACUCAGAAAUCAGAAAUCACAAUAUACAGAUUGCCUCAGUCAUCCUCUCCCUCCUUUUCCCUAGAUGGUAGUCUUCCAUGUUUAACAUAUCUAGGAGAGUUCUUUUGAUCUAAAGUUUUGUCCAUUGUCUUCUCUUGAAUAGGUCGGAACAGUAAUUUUGGUUUUACACCUUGCAGUGCCCAAGUUUCCUGAAUUUUACAUAGGACCUGGAUCCAGUCUCCAGUAGAUAAGGAAACCAAAUAGAGCUAGAUUGAGGGUACAAAGUCAGUGAAUACUGAAGUCUACGAAAGCAGAAGUCUAAUCUGUAGCAUAUGGGCCAAUCCUUGUUUACCACCUAAAGUUUUGUGUAUUCCAUGAACUAAGAGUGGAUUUACGUUCUUAAGGGAUUAGGAAAAAAUGCAAUUGAAGAGUAACAGUUUAGUAUGUGGAGAAACUGCAUGAAAUUCUAAUAUCUGUGUUCAUAAAUAAAAUUUUAUGGCCAUCUG